ACGUUCCGUAAAUCCUUCUGAACUUCUGCUGCAGAUCCCAUCAUCCCAUCGGGCCUCCUCCUUUCAGGCUUUUAUUUUGAAAUGCAAACGGCUGCAGGAAAUGUAGGAGACAAUCCGCCACCUGACUGGACAGUGGAGACCAGUAGAAACCAGUGGAGACCAGUGGGAGGAACUGAGUGGGAAUAUGCAAUUUCUUAUGAAUCAUGGAGCAACGAGCUGAAAGCUGUUUUUACUGACGAUCGAUGGUCAAAAGUCCUCCAGAACCGGUCCGAUGGAGACUUUGGGUCAGAACCGAUGGGACAUUUCCUCAUCACACCUCAUCAUGCAUGCACUUUAUGGAAGCACGUUCCAGUAUCGCCGCGCCACUGGUCCAGUUCAUCCCUGAAAGGAAAACUCCGCCUCUCGCCUCCGUAUAUGGUCGGCUUCCAGGUGAACCCUGACCUCCAGGGUUGCUGGCUGAGGUUCUGCUGCUCAGCCCGGCCGGGUCCAGGAAGCGAUGGCUCCGCCUGAUGGGAGCCGUUUGAAACGUCACAAACUGACAGCAACAACUUCAGAUUGUUCAGUUUUUACAGGAAAAGAAUGAGCUUCAGUUUCAAAGUCACAUUUUCACCCACAUUCAGAAACGUCCAAUAAAAACUUGCUAAAUAUUUAGCUGGAAAUUUGCUUGCUAACUAAAUGUUUAGCUUCAAGCUAUAUAUUUAGCUCACUAACUAAAUACCUCAUUAACUAUUGAGUUUGAAGCCAAACAUUUAGCUGCUAUUUAUAAACUGUGAUGUUUAUAAAUAGAUGAAUAACUCAGUGAAAAUAUAACUUUGAAAGAUAAAAACAUCUUUUUCUCCUAAAACAGACUAAAUAAUCCAAAUUAUUGCUGUUAAUUUUUCCGAACGGCUGCCAUGUUCACGGCUUUUCAGGAAGAGAACCCAGAAAUAGAUCUCAGCUCGGUUCUAGAUAAUCCAGUCGGUUUCAUGAGAACAACAAUAAUCCAUGUUUGGGAUUUCUUGGAUGCAUUUAAACGUUUCCAGCUGAAAGAACCUCGGCUGGGAUUAUUAUUCCCGUCUCUGCCUAAACACAGGAAGCGGUGUGAUUCCCGGUAAGCCUGGGGUCGGAUCCGUCGGAUCGACCCUCCUCAUCUCCGGCUACAGGAGGAGUUUUCCUGAAGGAAACGGAUCUGCGGCUUCCUGCUUUGGUUUUCCUGCAGAACGGAGUUAAAGCACAAUUUAAAGAUGUGAACACGCCUGAAUGAAGAACCUCACCUGAAAUGAUCUUUUUAUAUCUUUGAUUUCUUUCUUCAUGUCAGAAUUCCAGAAGCUUUUUUCCUACCAAACAGCAUGACUCCCUGCUGACACCUUCAAGGUCACCAGGUUCCAUUUCUGUUGAAUUGUGGAGUUUGUACAGUUUCUAUCAUGUUGGUGUUGCCAUCUGUUGCUCUGAAUAAAUCCUGUGUUGCAACACCUGCAAA
This is a long non-coding RNA of Xiphophorus maculatus (southern platyfish), 1459 nucleotides long. RefSeq lists it as uncharacterized. Lineage: Eukaryota; Metazoa; Chordata; Actinopteri; Cyprinodontiformes; Poeciliidae. The transcript has 2 exons. The record is from RefSeq and is a predicted model, not a curated record.